Molecule: long non-coding RNA, 457 nt
Filed under: Homo sapiens (human)
Lineage: Eukaryota; Metazoa; Chordata; Mammalia; Primates; Hominidae
Description: long intergenic non-protein coding RNA 868
Source: RNAcentral
GGAGCUUAUAAUUUAGUAGACACAUAAGCCACAAACAGAAGCCAGCUCUGUGUCAGGCCCCAUGAGAAGUCCGCAGGUGCGAUCUUCAAUUUGGAGACUACAGGAAGGAUGGCUGGGGAGGCCUCAGGAAACUUACAGUCACAGCGGAAGGCAAAGAGGAAGCAGGCAGCGGCUUCGUGGCAGGAGCAGGAGGAAGGCGGUGGGGAGGUGCUACAUACUUUUAAACAACUGGAUCUUGUGAGAACUCACUAUCACGAGAACAGCAAGGGGGAAUUCUGCGCCCUGAUCCAGUCACCUCCCACCAGGCUCCUCCUCCAACAGUGGGGAUUACAAUUCGACAUGAGAUUUGAGUGGGGACACAGAUCCAAACCAUAUCAGUGUCAUUAAAAAAAUAGUUGCCCUGCUAACUUUUUUAAUCCCCUGUAACUCUAAAUAAAAUAAUGAUGUGAACAUAACA